CGUAGGAGGCAAGCGUUAUCCGGAAUCACUGGGCGUAAAGCGUGCGUAGGGGGGAGUUUAAGUGAGAUGUUAAAUCGUGUGGCUCAACCAUAUCGAUGCAUCUCAUACUGGACACCUAGAGGAAGGCAGAGGCAAGUGGAAUUUGUAGUGUAGCAGUGAAAUGCGUAGAUAUUACAAGGAACACCAAUGGCGAAGGCAGCUUGCUGGGUCUUUUCUGACGCUGAGGUACGAAAGCGUGGGGAGCGAACAGGAUUAGAUACCCUGGUAGUCCACGCCGUAAACGAUGCAUACUAGUCUUAUGGGGUAUCGACCCCCUGUGAGACGAAGCUAACGCGAUAAGUAUGCCGCCUGGGAAGUACGGCCGCAAGGCUA
RNAcentral lists this ribosomal RNA (372 nucleotides) under uncultured organism. RNAcentral describes it as "bacterial SSU rRNA". It matches the Rfam family "Bacterial small subunit ribosomal RNA", at positions 526 to 896 of the family's 1533-position model. The record is from RNAcentral.